This 463-nucleotide ribosomal RNA is filed under the name uncultured bacterium. RNAcentral describes it as "bacterial SSU rRNA". It matches the Rfam family "Bacterial small subunit ribosomal RNA", at positions 331 to 792 of the family's 1533-position model. The record is from RNAcentral.
CCAGACUCCUACGGGAGGCAGCAGUGAGGAAUAUUGGUCAAUGGCCGAGAGGCUGAACCAGCCAAGUCGCGUGAGGGAAGACGGCCCUACGGGUUGUAAACCUCUUUUGUCGGGGAGCAAAGCGAGUCACGUGUGACUCAUUGAGAGUACCCGAAGAAAAAGCAUCGGCUAACUCCGUGCCAGCAGCCGCGGUAAUACGGAGGAUGCGAGCGUUAUCCGGAUUUAUUGGGUUUAAAGGGUGCGUAGGCGGAGUGUCAAGUCAGCGGUAAAAUUUCGGGGCUCAACCCCGUCGUGCCGUUGAAACUGACGCCCUUGAGUGAGUGAGAAGUAAGCGGAAUGCGUGGUGUAGCGGUGAAAUGCAUAGAUAUCGCGCAGAACUCCGAUUGCGAAGGCAGCAUGCCGGCUCCACACUGACGCUGAGGCACGAAAGCGUGGGUAUCGAACAGGAUUAGAUACCCCUGUA